Molecule: ribosomal RNA, 444 nt
Filed under: uncultured bacterium
Lineage: Bacteria
Description: partial 16S ribosomal RNA
Rfam family: Bacterial small subunit ribosomal RNA
Source: RNAcentral
GUAGGGAAUAUUGGGCAAUGGUCGGAAGACUGACCCAGCCAUGCCGCGUGCAGGAAGACGGCCCUCUGGGUUGUAAACUGCUUUUAUCUGGGAAGAAAAAGGCCAUGCGUGGCAAAUUGCCGGUACCAGAUGAAUAAGCACCGGCUAACUCCGUGCCAGCAGCCGCGGUAAUACGGAGGGUGCGAGCGUUGUCCGGAUUUAUUGGGUUUAAAGGGUGCGUAGGCGGCUGAUUAAGUCAGCGGUGAAAGACUUCGGCUUAACCGGGGCAGUGACGUUGAUACUGGUUGGCUUGAGUGUCGGAGGGGUACAUGGAAUUGAUGGUGUAGCGGUGAAAUGCAUAGAUACCAUCAGGAACACCGAUAGCGAAGGCAUUGUACUGGCCGACAACUGACGCUGAUGCACGAAAGUGUGGGGAUCGAACAGGAUUAGAAACCCCAGUAGUCC